Molecule: ribosomal RNA, 482 nt
Filed under: uncultured bacterium
Lineage: Bacteria
Description: partial 16S ribosomal RNA
Rfam family: Bacterial small subunit ribosomal RNA
Source: RNAcentral
GACGAACGCUGGCGGCGUGCUUAACACAUGCAAGUCGAACGAUGAACCUCGAAAUGACAUCUUCGGAAGGAUUUUUGAGAGGAUUAGUGGCGAACGGGUGAGUAACGCGUGAGCAACCUGCCUUAGACAAGGGGAUAGCCUCGGGAAACCGUGAUUAAUACCCUAUGAGACUCCACUUACGAGUGUAAGAGAAGUUAAAGCUAUUGCGGUCUAAGAUGGGCUCGCGUCUGAUUAGCUAGUUGGUGAGAUAAAAGCCCACCAAGGCGACGAUCAGUAACCGGCUUGAGAGAGUGAACGGUCACAUUGGAACUGAGACACGGUCCAAACUCCUACGGGAGGCAGCAGUGGAGAAUAUUGCACAAUGGGGGGGGAACCCUGAUGCAGCGACGCCGCGUGAGCGAUGAAGGAAUUCGUUUCGUAAAGCUCUGUCCUUGGAGAAGAUAAUGACGGUAACCAAGGAGGAAGCACCGGCUAAAUACGUG